GACAGGGACAGCGCACAAUUAAAAUAAUUGCACCAGAGUUAGCUAGCAGCAAGCGGCAACCUUCUGGUUUCCUGGAUGAAGCCGAACCAGAAAUGCCUAAAAGUGAAAUUCAUUGAGUGGCCAGUUGAGGCUGGCUCCAAAAGGGAGUCAGUCUCCAUUGACCUCCAUGUUAAAAAGCCCAACUUUACAGAAUAAAACAUGUUUACAGCCUGGUACAAAAGAUGGUUUUAGUGUAUACAGCUAAUUCUGCCCUUUGUGACACCUGUGAUGGGGGUCAAAUGUUUUAUAACUCACCUGUUUAAAUUAUAUUAAGCCUUAAAUUGUGCAUUAUUAGGGCGUGGCCGCUUUGAUUGACAGGUGGCUGCAGUCAGUCACGGAGCUCACCAGCUAUGCUCUGUUGGAACCUUUUGGAUAUUUCUUCAUGCAGAUACCGGACGAAUAAUGGCAGGCUUUGCGGUUAAUUGGAGAGAAAAAGAACCCUCAGAAGCCUGUGCUCCAGUUGGAGCCAGAUGAGCUGAUGGCAGCAUCAUUCCAAAUGAGAAGCACCAGAGUCCAGCUCUACAGAAGUCCCAGCUUCCAGUGUGGCCCUGCCAGCUGCUGCAGCUUACUGCUUUGCUCAGCCUUUUGCUUUUGUUUUACUUUAACAUCUGGACUCUACUGAUUUAAAAUUAUCACUGGGUUCUUCUGUCAUUAUAUUUACUGUUACAGUACAUUACUUCAAGUCAUAAAAAACUACUUUUACAUUUGUAACCUUUUAAUAUUGAUGUUUCCAUGAAUGCAAGAUAUGAUUUUAAUGUGUUCAGCUUUUGCUUUUGUAUUAGAAAUAAUUUUUGUUAUAUAAAAUUGAUCAGACUAAAUUGACUUAAAAUAAAAUAACAUUCUUCAUU
Long non-coding RNA from Micropterus salmoides (largemouth bass), 887 nucleotides. RefSeq lists it as uncharacterized. NCBI's taxonomy places the organism in Eukaryota, Metazoa, Chordata, Actinopteri, Centrarchiformes, Centrarchidae. The transcript has 2 exons. The record is from RefSeq and is a predicted model, not a curated record.